Triticum aestivum (bread wheat) is the source of this 136-nucleotide non-coding RNA. NCBI's taxonomy places the organism in Eukaryota, Viridiplantae, Streptophyta, Magnoliopsida, Poales, Poaceae. The record is from Rfam.
AUUCUACUCCCUCCAUUGCACAAUACAUGCCUUCUAUUUGUCAAAAUAUAUAUGUAUCUAGACAUGUUUUAGUAUAUAGGUACAUCCAUUUUUGGACAAAUGGAAGAAAAGUAUUUUGGAACGGAGGGAGUACACA